GCCCUGAUGGUCUAAUGGUUAAGAUUUGAUGCUCUCACUGCCAUGGCCUGGGUUCAUUUCCUGGUCAGGGAA
This 72-nucleotide transfer RNA is filed under the name Equus asinus (donkey). It matches the Rfam family "tRNA". Rfam says of the family: Transfer RNA (tRNA) molecules are approximately 80 nucleotides in length. Lineage: Eukaryota; Metazoa; Chordata; Mammalia; Perissodactyla; Equidae. The record is from Rfam by way of RNAcentral. RNAcentral also lists the same sequence under 1 other name.